AUGCCGGAGAACUUUGUCUUCAAACCCCACAGCCUUCUCUUUGCGCUGAGGGCAGGGCUACUGGUCGAUGCAGGAGGAGGAGGCCUUGGAGAGGUCCCUCUGAUGAGGAAGCCCAUCCGAGCGGCUCUCAUAGGCCACACACUUGAAACGAAGUGCGCGUCUCCACUUGAACGGUAAAAUCUCGGUGCUGACCCAAGGCUCUGAUGAUGGAAUAAAAAGGCCUACCUCAUUGGGCUCGUGUGGGUGAGGAGAACUGAAGAGUCUGAGAGCGCGGCACGAGCCAGAGGCUACGGAAAACACUGCCCUCCUACACUCCACCUUGGAGAGACCCAGAAAAGAACAAGCUUCAUUUGUAAAAAAGGAAAACAACUCAGGCAAUGGGGGUGGCUUAAAGGCACUCUACAGUGUGCAGAUGCCUUCCACUUCUUCCAUCUGCCCUGUCUCUCCAAGAACCCCUAUGGCCCCGGUCUCAGAACAGAGCUGAGUGCAGAAAUGAAAAUCUAUGGCUCUGUGUUCCAAAACGAUGAAGAAUUUCAAGAUGGUGGCAGUGGUAAAAUCUUUCUCCAGGAAAAAUCUGUCCUUGGCCCAAUGUGUAAACACUUGCUGAGGAACUUGGAAUAACUUGCAGUGUCUUGCAGUAUUGUGAAACCAGCAACUUGUUCACAAUUCUUCUGAAUUUCUUGGGAAAUUUGAAGUGGAGUACCUGUACCAACAUGAAAUGACACGAAUUUAAGUGACGCUCAACAACGAAAAGCAAAAAGAACCAAAGAGGAAGCAACUGAAACAACAUCUGGAUGUAUUUAAAAAUAUACAAUGCCUCCAAAAUCAGGUGUCAUUAAUGAAAAUUCUGAAGAAAUGCCACCGGACAUAGCCAACGCACCUACGCUGUUGUUAUUCAUUUCCUGCUUUUCACAGAAAACAAUUUUGUUGCAUGGAAGAUCGUGAACUUCAAAGGGCAGAGGGGAAACUGUCCCUUGGCCUCUACCCCUCCAAGGCCCCACUUUUUUGUCAACACUCCUUGGACGCAGCAGAAGUAUGAACAUAAUAUGGUCCUGAAUGAGGCUGAGUCUUUGGGCGCAGAAGACCCGGGUUAAUAAAAAUAGGAAGGUAAGAAAAGAAAAGAAAAAUCAAGACACAUCAUAGGACUAAAUUCCUAUUAUUUAUCCACUCAGGAUUGACCACCCCUUUGGGCCAGAUAGUUGUACCCCCAUGUACCAGGUGGGCACAUGAAGACACAAGAAGUGCUGUGAUGGUUCAUUUUGCACGUCACCUUGCGUGGAGUAUGCCAACUCAUUGUUUGGUCAAACACUAGUCUGGACAUGGUGGUAAAGGUAUUUUUUAGAUGAGAUUAACACUUAAAUCAGUAAAGCAGGUUACCCACCAUACUACGGGUGGGCCCUGUCCAAUCAGUUGAAGGCAUUAAGAACAAAGAUUGAGGUUUCCUAAAGAAGAUGGAAUUCUCCUUGAGACUACAACAUAGAAACCCUAUCUGAGUUUCCAGCCUGUUGCCCUGUGGAAUUCAAACUCAGGACUCCGGUCUAUGACAUUAACCCUCACUUAACUUUUCAGCCUGCCAGCCUGCCCUAUGGAUUUCGGACUUGCCAGCCACACAAUUCCUUAAAAUAAAUCUCUCCGUCUC
This is a long non-coding RNA of Homo sapiens (human), 1639 nucleotides long. Ensembl annotates it as downregulated RNA in cancer, inhibitor of cell invasion and migration. Its record names the gene DRAIC. Lineage: Eukaryota; Metazoa; Chordata; Mammalia; Primates; Hominidae. The record is from Ensembl.